UUCCUGGUGUUCGCGCCCCUGGGUAGCCACUCUUGAGUGUGGGCAGGACCUGUGACUUGCCUUCAACCAACGGGAUACACAGAAUGAUGGGCCGUCACUUCCACGGUCACGUUACACAGGACUUUGACUUGAGUCUUGCCAGCCUGUCCCUUGCGGGCUCUGAUGAAGCAGGCUGCCGUGCUGGGGGUCACCCUGUGGACAGGCUCUUGCGGCCAGGAGCUGAGGGCGGCUUCUAGCGGUUCACCAGCGAGGAAGUGAGGCUCGCAUCCAACAUUCUGCCGGGGCUGGAUUCUGCCAACAAGCCCAGGAGCUUGGACACAGACCCUUCCCCAGUGGAGCCGGGAGAUGAGACCACAGCCCUGGCUGACACCUUGACUGCAGGCUGGGAGACCCUGAACCAGAGGACACAGCUGAGUGUCCAUGCCUGGACUCCUGUUCACAGAAACAGAGUUUAUACCUGUGUGCUCUUUAGGCUGCUAAAUGGUGAAACAGCAUUGAAAGAAGUCAGAAACUGAUGGUUCCCGCAGAGCGAAAUGGGACAAGUUCAGCCACACGCAAAACCUGGAGGGGAGAACACUGCAUUGCCAGCUCCUCUUGAUUUGGGAAACUGAAGAGCACAGAGUAACACAGUCAGGAUGCAGACAUGGAACAGUGGGCACUGAAGCACCUUAACCUUCCCACGUCUUCUGCUGUUCUUACGGGAAUGUCUCGGUUGAGAAGAAAAACGUCCUUGGCAUUGUGACGAUGCAAACACGUUGGCCCCAGACCCAGACUCUGAGCUGCAGUGUCACGGUAACAUCUCGGGAGACAAUCUCCGAAUUCCAGCGCUGGGAGACCCCUGAGACCCUCAAUCCAAGCCUUUUACUCCACAUGGGAGAACUGAGGCACAGGUCCAGCGCGUCCAUCAGUGUAAUGGAAAGUGGUUCAGCUGAAGGUGACGGGGGUGCCCUGCCUGCUGCUGUCUGCUGUCCCCUCCCCAGCCCGACACCAAGGUCUGUGCACUUUGUCCCCGAUGGUGUCGCCCUCCAGACCCAGAACUUUAACAGCCUCCUCAAGCUGCUGUGAUCGCCCAGUUCAGUUCUGGCCACGAGGUGAGCCAGUCACAGGCACUCACCGUCAGCAAGAGUGAGAGUCACCUGAGAGCAACAUGGCGGCGAGGAAUCAGGCUCAUGUCUUGGAGGAGAUGUGCUGGGCAGAAGGGACCACCUCCUGGGAGCACCAUUCACAUGGUUCACGAUGGCCACCUGAAUGGUGACACCCACUUCUUUACUGAGAGUCAGUAUGCGUUUAUAUCAAUAUACAAUUCACCAUAUUAAAAAGAUCAUUUACACUUUUGGGGGUAAAGUCGUUUGA
Long non-coding RNA from Lagenorhynchus albirostris (white-beaked dolphin), 1353 nucleotides. RefSeq lists it as uncharacterized. The transcript has 6 exons. NCBI's taxonomy places the organism in Eukaryota, Metazoa, Chordata, Mammalia, Artiodactyla, Delphinidae. The record is from RefSeq and is a predicted model, not a curated record.